Molecule: ribosomal RNA, 716 nt
Filed under: uncultured Bacteroidota bacterium
Lineage: Bacteria; Pseudomonadati; Bacteroidota
Description: bacterial SSU rRNA
Rfam family: Bacterial small subunit ribosomal RNA
Source: RNAcentral
AGUCGAGGGGUAUUGUUCUUCGGAAUGAGGGACCGGCGCACGGGUGCGUAACGCGUAUGCAAUCUACCUUUCACAGAGGGAUAGCCCAGAGAAAUUUGGAUUAAUACCUCAUAGUAUGCAGAGUUGGCAUCAACACUGCAUUAAAGUCACAACGGUGAAAGAUGAGCAUGCGUCCCAUUAGCUAGUUGGUAAGGUAACGGCUUACCAAGGCUACGAUGGGUAGGGGUCCUGAGAGGGAGAUCCCCCACACUGGUACUGAGACACGGACCAGACUCCUACGGGAGGCAGCAGUGAGGAAUAUUGGACAAUGGGCGCAAGCCUGAUCCAGCCAUGCCGCGUGCAGGAUGACGGUCCUAUGGAUUGUAAACUGCUUUUGCACAGGAAGAAACAACUCUACGUGUAGAGUCUUGACGGUACUGUGAGAAUAAGGAUCGGCUAACUCCGUGCCAGCAGCCGCGGUAAUACGGAGGAUCCAAGCGUUAUCCGGAAUCAUUGGGUUUAAAGGGUCCGUAGGCGGUUUAGUAAGUCAGUGGUGAAAGCCCAUCGCUCAACGGUGGAACGGCCAUUGAUACUGCUAGACUUGAAUUAUUAGGAAGUAACUAGAAUAUGUAGUGUAGCGGUGAAAUGCUUAGAGAUUACAUGGAAUACCAAUUGGCGAGGCAGGUUACUACUAAUGGAUUGACGCUGAUGGACGAAAGCGUGGGUAGCGAACAGGA